UGGGGAAUAUUGGACAAUGGGCGCAAGCCUGAUCCAGCCAUGCCGCGUGAGUGAUGAAGGCCUUAGGGUUGUAAAGCUCUUUCGCCAGGUGAAGAUAAUGACGGUAACCGGAGAAGAAGCCCCGGCUAACUUCGUGCCAGCAGCCGCGGUAAUACGAAGGGGGCUAGCGUUGCUCGGAAUCACUGGGGCGUAAAGCGCACGUAGGCGGAUCGUUAAGUCAGGGGUGAAAUCCUGGAGCUCAACUCCAGAACUGCCCUUGGAUACUGGCGAUCUCGAGGUUCGAGAGAGGUUGGUGGAACUCCGAGUGUAGAGGUGAAAUUCGUAGAUAUUCGGAAGAACACCAGUGGCGAAGGCGGCCAACUGGCUCGAUACUGACGCUGAGGUGCGAAAGCGUGGGGAGCAAAACAGGAUUAGAUACCCUGGUAGUCCACGCCGUAAACGAUGGAUGCUAGCCGUUGGGAGCUUGCUCUUCAGUGGCGCAGC
RNAcentral lists this ribosomal RNA (483 nucleotides) under uncultured bacterium. Its description in RNAcentral is "partial 16S ribosomal RNA". It matches the Rfam family "Bacterial small subunit ribosomal RNA", at positions 355 to 852 of the family's 1533-position model. The record is from RNAcentral.